Molecule: ribosomal RNA, 274 nt
Filed under: uncultured bacterium
Lineage: Bacteria
Description: partial 16S ribosomal RNA
Rfam family: Bacterial small subunit ribosomal RNA
Source: RNAcentral
UAAUACAGAGGUGGCAAGCGUUGUUCGGAAUUACUGGGCGUAAAGGGCGCGUAGGCGGCCUUCUAAGUCAGACGUGAAAUCCCCCGGCUUAACCUGGGAACUGCGUCUGAUACUGGGAGGCUUGAGUAUGGGAGAGGGAUGUAGAAUUCCAGGUGUAGCGGUGAAAUGCGUAGAUAUCUGGAGGAAUACCGGUGGCGAAGGCGGCAUCCUGGACCAUAACUGACGCUGAGGCGCGAAAGCUAGGGGAGCAAACGGGAUUAGAUACCCCGGUAGU